AUUGAACGCUGGCGGCAGGCCUAACACAUGCAAGUCGAACGAGUGGCGGACGGGUGAGUAAUGUCUGGGAAACUGCACGAUGGAGGGGGGUAACUACUGGAAACGGUAGCUAAUACCGCAUACCAUCGGAUGUGCCCAGAUGGGAUUAGCUAGUAGGUGGGGUAACGGCUCACCUAGGCGACGAUCCCUAGGUGGUCUGAGAGGAGGCCCAUGCACACUGGAACUGAGACACUGUCCAGACGCCUACGGGAGUCAGCAGUGGGGAAUAUUGCACGAUGGGCGCGAGCCUGAUGCAGCCAUGCCGCGUGUAUGAAGAAGGCCUUCGGGUUGUAGAGUACUUUCAGCGGGGAGGCGUUACUCGCAGAAGAAGCACCGGCUAACUCCGUGCCAGCAGCCGCGGUAAUAC
RNAcentral lists this ribosomal RNA (406 nucleotides) under uncultured bacterium. RNAcentral describes it as "partial 16S ribosomal RNA". It matches the Rfam family "Bacterial small subunit ribosomal RNA", at positions 30 to 526 of the family's 1533-position model. The record is from RNAcentral.